This is a non-coding RNA of Cavia porcellus (domestic guinea pig), 64 nucleotides long. The record is from Rfam. Lineage: Eukaryota; Metazoa; Chordata; Mammalia; Rodentia; Caviidae.
GGGGAUUUAGCUCAGUGGUGUAAGCGCCUGCCUUGUAAGCACGCAGUUGUGAGUUCGAUCCCCG